GCGUGGGGGUCGUGCUAGUACUGCAAGUCGAGCGGACAGAUGGGAGCUUGCUCCCUGAUGUUAGCGGCGGACGGGUGAGUAACACGUGGGUAACCUGCCUGUAAGACUGGGAUAACUCCGGGAAACCGGGGCUAAUACCGGAUGGUUGUCUGAACCGCAUGGUUCAGACAUAAAAGGUGGCUUCGGCUACCACUUACAGAUGGACCCGCGGCGCAUUAGCUAGUUGGUGAGGUAACGGCUCACCAAGGCGACGAUGCGUAGCCGACCUGAGAGGGUGAUCGGCCACACUGGGACUGAGACACGGCCCAGACUCCUACGGGAGGCAGCAGUAGGGAAUCUUCCGCAAUGGACGAAAGUCUGACGGAGCAACGCCGCGUGAGUGAUGAAGGUUUUCGGAUCGUAAAGCUCUGUUGUUAGGGAAGAACAAGUGCCGUUCAAAUAGGGCGGCACCUUGACGGUACCUAACCAGAAAGCCACGGCUAACUACGUGCCAGCAGCCGCGGUAAUACGUAGGUGGCAAGCGUUGUCCGGAAUUAUUGGGCGUAAAGGGCUCGCAGGCGGUUUCUUAAGUCUGAUGUGAAAGCCCCCGGCUCAACCGGGGAGGGUCAUUGGAAACUGGGGAACUUGAGUGCAGAAGAGGAGAGUGGAAUUCCACGUGUAGCGGUGAAAUGCGUAGAGAUGUGGAGGAACACCAGUGGCGAAGGCGACUCUCUGGUCUGUAACUGACGCUGAGGAGCGAAAGCGUGGGGAGCGAACAGGAUUAGAUACCCUGGUAGUCCACGCCGUAAACGAUGAGUGCUAAGUGUUAGGGGGUUUCCGCCCCUUAGUGCUGCAGCUAACGCAUUAAGCACUCCGCCUGGGGAGUACGGUCGCAAGACUGAAACUCAAAGGAAUUGACGGGGGCCGCACAGCGGUGGAGCAUGGGUUUAAUUCGAAGCACCCCAAAAACCUUACCAGGUCUGAAUCUCUGACAUCUAAAAAAGGACUCCCUUCGGGGCAA
Molecule: ribosomal RNA, 1000 nt
Filed under: Bacillus sp. (in: firmicutes)
Lineage: Bacteria; Bacillati; Bacillota; Bacilli; Caryophanales; Bacillaceae
Description: bacterial SSU rRNA
Rfam family: Bacterial small subunit ribosomal RNA
Source: RNAcentral